RNAcentral lists this ribosomal RNA (425 nucleotides) under Thaumastocheles bipristis. RNAcentral's name for it is "partial 16S ribosomal RNA". It matches the Rfam family "Bacterial large subunit ribosomal RNA", at positions 1967 to 2598 of the family's 2925-position model. The record is from RNAcentral. Lineage: Eukaryota; Metazoa; Arthropoda; Malacostraca; Decapoda; Thaumastochelidae.
AUUAGUCUUUUAAUUGGAGGCUUGUAUGAAUGGUUGGACAAGAAGUAAGCUGUCUCGAACUCAGAGAUUGAAGUUGACUUUUAAGUGAAAAGGCUUAAAUAGUUUAAAGGGACGAUAAGACCCUAUAAAGCUUAAUAAUUUAAUAUAUAAUUAAAUAAAUUAUAAGUGUUAUGUUAUCUAUAUUUUAAAUUAUUUCGUUGGGGCGAUGUUGAUAUAAUUUGUAACUGUUUAAGUUUUUGAUACAAAGAUAUUUGUGUAUAAUGAUCCUUGUUGUUGAUUAAAAAUUUAAGUUACUUUAGGGAUAACAGCGUUAUUUAUUUUGAGAGUUCAUAUCGACAAAAAAGUUUGCGACCUCGAUGUUGAAUUAAAAAUUCGCCAUGGCGUAGGAGUUAUGGGGGAAGGUCUGUUCGACCUUUAAAUUUUUA